RNAcentral lists this ribosomal RNA (534 nucleotides) under uncultured bacterium. RNAcentral's name for it is "bacterial SSU rRNA". It matches the Rfam family "Bacterial small subunit ribosomal RNA", at positions 234 to 760 of the family's 1533-position model. The record is from RNAcentral.
CGGCGCAUUAGCUAGUUGGUGGGGUAAAGGCUUACCAAGGCAAUGAUGCGUAGCCGAACUGAGAGGUUGAUCGGCCACAUUGGGACUGAGACACGGCCCAAACUCCUACGGGAGGCAGCAGUAGGGAAUCUUCCACAAUGGGCGAAAGCCUGAUGGAGCAACGCCGCGUGGGUGAAGAAGGUCUUCGGAUCGUAAAACCCUGUUGUUAGAGAAGAAAGUGCGUGAGAGUAACUGUUCACGUUUCGACGGUAUCUAACCAGAAAGCCACGGCUAACUACGUGCCAGCAGCCGCGGUAAUACGUAGGUGGCAAGCGUUAUCCGGAUUUAUUGGGCGUAAAGGGAACGCAGGCGGUCUUUUAAGUCUGAUGUGAAAGCCUUCGGCUUAACCGGAGUAGUGCAUUGGAAACUGGGAGACUUGAGUGCAGAAGAGGAGAGUGGAACUCCAUGUGUAGCGGUGAAAUGCGUAGAUAUAUGGAAGAACACCAGUGGCGAAAGCGGCUCUCUGGUCUGUAACUGACGCUGAGGUUCGAAAGC